GAUGAACGCUGGCGGCGUGCCUAAUACAUGCCAGUCGAGCGAACAGACGAGGAGCUUGCUCCUCUGACGUUAGCGGCGGACGGGUGAGUAACACGUGGAUAACCUACCUAUAAGACUGGGAUAACUUCGGGAAACCGGAGCUAAUACCGGAUAAUAUAUUGAACCGCAUGGUUCAAUAGUGAAAGACGGUUUUGCUGUCACUUAUAGAUGGAUCCGCGCCGCAUUAACUAGUUGGUAAGGUAACGGCUUACCAAGGCAACGAUGCGUAGCCGACCUGAGAGGGUGAUCGGCCACACUGGAACUGAGACACGGUCCAGACUCCUACGGGAGGCAGCAGUAGGGAAUCUUCCGCAAUGGGCGAAAGCCUGACGGAGCAACGCCGCGUGAGUGAUGAAGGUCUUCGGAUCGUAAAACUCUGUUAUUAGGGAAGAACAAAUGUGUAAGUAACUAUGCACGUCCUGACGGUACCUAAUCAGAAAGCCACGGCUAACUACGUG
This 497-nucleotide ribosomal RNA is filed under the name uncultured bacterium. Its description in RNAcentral is "partial 16S ribosomal RNA". It matches the Rfam family "Bacterial small subunit ribosomal RNA", at positions 28 to 507 of the family's 1533-position model. The record is from RNAcentral.